CUCGCUUUAUCAACCGUCUCUGAUCCCGGAUCUACAUCUCCUCCCCACCCAUCGAAGGGUAGAGAGGCAAGACAUCGAAGAACUCCUCUUUGGCAAAAACAAUUU
Long non-coding RNA from Alosa alosa (allis shad), 105 nucleotides. RefSeq lists it as uncharacterized. The record is from RefSeq and is a predicted model, not a curated record. NCBI's taxonomy places the organism in Eukaryota, Metazoa, Chordata, Actinopteri, Clupeiformes, Clupeidae. The transcript has 3 exons.